This 677-nucleotide ribosomal RNA is filed under the name uncultured Candidatus Poseidoniales archaeon. Its description in RNAcentral is "bacterial SSU rRNA". It matches the Rfam family "Archaeal small subunit ribosomal RNA", at positions 321 to 999 of the family's 1478-position model. The record is from RNAcentral. Lineage: Archaea; Methanobacteriati; Thermoplasmatota; Candidatus Poseidoniia; Candidatus Poseidoniales.
CCCUAUGGGGUGCAGCAGGCGCGAAAACUUGGCAAUGCGAGAAAUCGUGACCAGGGAACUCCAAGUGGCUGGGGUAAGACCCAGUCUUUUCUUGACUCUUCAAAGGUCUUGGAAUAAGGGGUGGGUAAGGACGGUGCCAGCCGCCGCGGUAAUACCGGCGCCUCAAGUGGUAGUCGAUUUUAUUGGGCCUAAAACGUCCGUCGCCUGUUUGGUACAUUCGUGGGUAAAUCAACCAGCUCAACUGGUUGAAUUCUGCGAGCACGGCCAGACUUGGGACCGGGAGAGGUGUGGGGUACGCUCAGGGUAGGGGUAAAAUCCUGUCAUCCUGAGCGGACCACCUGUUGCGAAGGCUCCACACUAGAACGGAUCCGACGGUCAGGGACGAAGCCUAGGGGCACGAACCGGAUUAGAUACCCGGGUAGUCCUAGGUGUAAACGCUGUGGACUUGGUGUUGGGAAGGUUCCGAGCCUUCUCAGUGCCGAAGCGAAGGUGAUAAGUCCACUGCCUGGGGAGUACGGUCGCAAGGCUGAAACUUAAAGGAAUUGGCGGGGGAGCACCGCAACCUGAGGAUUGUGCGGUUUAAUUGGAUUCAACGCCGGAAAACUCACCAGUGCCGACGGACAAAUGAAAGCCAGUGUGAUGAGCUUGCUGGAUUGUUCGAGAGGAAGUGCAUGGCC